AAAAAAAUGUCUGUAUGCCAUUUGUAUUGGAACUUUUUGAAAUUGAGCUUUCUGACCUAUGAAAUUAGCAUGUUCUUCCAUUUAUGUAUUUUUAAAUGUUUUUUAAUACACAUUUAUAAACUUCUUUGCAGAAGGUCAUUGCACAUUU
This is a long non-coding RNA of Dipodomys spectabilis (banner-tailed kangaroo rat), 148 nucleotides long. RefSeq lists it as uncharacterized. The record is from RefSeq and is a predicted model, not a curated record. NCBI's taxonomy places the organism in Eukaryota, Metazoa, Chordata, Mammalia, Rodentia, Heteromyidae. The transcript is spliced from 3 exons.